CACUAGUCGAGAGUUGUCGCCGCUCUCCUGAUGAGUACAAGGCAGGACGAAACCAUUG
RNAcentral lists this non-coding RNA (58 nucleotides) under Helianthus annuus (common sunflower). Lineage: Eukaryota; Viridiplantae; Streptophyta; Magnoliopsida; Asterales; Asteraceae. The record is from RNAcentral.